Long non-coding RNA from Pteropus alecto (black flying fox), 412 nucleotides. RefSeq lists it as uncharacterized. The record is from RefSeq and is a predicted model, not a curated record. The transcript is spliced from 2 exons. NCBI's taxonomy places the organism in Eukaryota, Metazoa, Chordata, Mammalia, Chiroptera, Pteropodidae.
UCUUUGAAAAAAAGAUUUAUUGGAGCAAAGCCACAGCCAUUCAUUUAUGUAUUAUCUAUGGCUGCUGUUCUUGCUAUAAGAGCAGCAGAGUUUAGUAGCCUUACAGAGAUUCAGUGACCUGCAAACUGUAAGCGUUAUUCUAUUUCAACUUGAAGGACUGACCAGAGCAUUAUUGUAGGGCAUGCCUAGUGGUAACUAGCUCCCUCAGCUUUUGUCUGGGAAUAUGUAUUUUUGUCUCAUUUUUGAAGGGCAGUUUUGUCAGAUGUGAAACUCUUGUUUGACAAGUCCCCACCGCACCCCACCCCCAACUCAGAACUUUAAAUAUGUCAUGCACAGCCUUUUGGAAGCUAAGAUUUCUGCUGACAAAUAUAUUGCUAAUCUUAUUAAACAUCUCUAGUAUGCUAAAAAGAAA